Xenopus tropicalis (tropical clawed frog) is the source of this 1008-nucleotide long non-coding RNA. RefSeq lists it as uncharacterized. The transcript has 4 exons. NCBI's taxonomy places the organism in Eukaryota, Metazoa, Chordata, Amphibia, Anura, Pipidae. The record is from RefSeq and is a predicted model, not a curated record.
AAAUUCGGCCCGCGACUUAGCCUGUGUUUUAGAUUUCGGCCCCCUUAUGUGAUUGAGUUUGACACCCCUGCUCUAACAGAUCCCGGUAAAAACCGACUAACAGGUUCCAGUAGUACUGACACCUAGUGGUUCCAUUUGAGAACUGCAGAUGAGCCGCAGGCAAUUGAAAAAUAAGUGUUUUUUCAGCAAGAGCAGCAUCAAUUCGUCUACAACACAAUCAGGGACAGCGGGCUGUGCUAAUAAAAUCAGGACUGUCCCACGAAGAUCGGACUAUUUUGGGAGAACAACAAAGCCCUUUCAAUGCUAAGGUCAUUGUUUGUGCUGAGGAGCAAUAAAUAGUUGGGCUGAAGAGCACAAGGAUCUGGUGUUGUCUUCUGCUGCUGGGGAAAGAGACUGACCAUGCUGUGCCGAGUUGCCUUCUUUACUCUGCUGGUCCUGUCUUUGGUGCAGGAAGACAGCUGCUAUUCAUGUAAGGGAAAAUCAGGAGUAUCUGAGAAGAAACACAAGAUCCUGGACCUGUCAGAUACAGUAGCAAAUGAAGUCAAUGAGAUUAUUGACAAGAAGAAGCACAAGAAGCUGCUGGAAACAGUAAAGGAGAAGGUACAGGAUAAGAUUUGUUUCACCAAACUUGACGCUGACACCAAGUCCGCCGUCACACACAAGUUAGAGAAAAUUCAAAGGAAACUUAAAAAGGGCAAACUGACCAAGGGAGACAUAAUCCAAUUCCUGGAGAAUGACCCGCUCAAUAAGAUUAAGGAAUAUUUUUCUGAACUAUUCGACAAGCAAACACACAGGAGACAUUAAAACCCCAACAGAAGGGAUAAAUAUCUAAAGUAUAUUGUACCUGAAGUAAUUCUGCUGCAUGUCCUACAAGCCUUCAUGCCAUUAGCAUCAACCCAGUGCUGUGCCUUCUACUUACCUUAUAAAUAAAUUGCCUUUCUGAAUGUAUUUCAUUGAAAUCGAAAUCCCUACAGCAAGAAUAAAGAAAGUUCAAAUUGUGCAUAAAAA